UGAGUAACCUGCCCUUAACUCUGGGAUAAGCCUGGGAAACUGGGUCUAAUACCGGAUAUGACUCCUCAUCGCAUGGUGGGGGGUGGAAAGCUUUUUGUGGUUUUGGAUGGACUCGCGGCCUAUCAGCUUGUUGGUGAGGUAAUGGCUCACCAAGGCAACGACGGGUAGCUGGUCUGAGAGGAUGGCCAGCCACAUUGGGACUGCGACACGGCCCAGACCUCCUACGGGAGGNAG
This 234-nucleotide ribosomal RNA is filed under the name uncultured bacterium. RNAcentral describes it as "partial 16S ribosomal RNA". It matches the Rfam family "Bacterial small subunit ribosomal RNA", at positions 118 to 351 of the family's 1533-position model. The record is from RNAcentral.